UUUAAUUGAAGAGUUUGAUCAUGGCUCAGAUUGAACGCUGGCGGCAGGCUUAACACAUGCAAGUCGAGCGGUAACAC
This 77-nucleotide ribosomal RNA is filed under the name Serratia marcescens. RNAcentral describes it as "partial 16S ribosomal RNA". It matches the Rfam family "Bacterial small subunit ribosomal RNA", at positions 1 to 75 of the family's 1533-position model. The record is from RNAcentral. Lineage: Bacteria; Pseudomonadati; Pseudomonadota; Gammaproteobacteria; Enterobacterales; Yersiniaceae.